AGUUGAGUUUAUGCAAUGAGGCACCCCAGACAGUAAGCAGUUUCGGUCCAGAUCCGGCCCACAUCUGGUCCCCCAUGGAUUUCACGCAGGCCAGAUGUGGGCCGGAUCUGGGCCAACACUAUGUUGUUAUCUGAGACUAAACUGAAAGCCCUUUCAGAUCAGAAGCGUGAGUCAAACCUGCUUCAUACUCAUCAACUUCUGCUUCUCUGUCCUCAGGACUGACGGUAUCAGUGCUGUAGCCGCCAUAGAUCGCUUCCUUUGGGAGCUUUUAUUAAUGUUUUGUUUUCAGGAUCAUUCAGGGCACUUUAACAUCACAAACACAGCACAAAAUGUAAAAACAAUGACAUGGAGACAGACAAAAGCUAAAGACAGACGGCUCAGAGGUGACGGCAGACGAUAAGGUAGAUCGGGCCGCGGGUCGUGACCCUCGUCUCUAUAGCGGUGUCUCGGUGACAGCAGCGUCCGGCGAGGAAGCGUCGCUCGCAGAACAAUGAGGACAGUGUGAGACUCAGGAAGAGCUGUGAGAGAAACACGGCUGACCUCUGAGAUCCAGAGGAGACCACGGCUGUGGACGCUUGGUUUAAGGGCUUUUCACUUCAGUGCGAAUCUGCUCCAGAUGAGGUCAGUGUGGUGGGAUCAUUCCCGUCUCAUACUUCACGGUUUCAGCGUUUUCCCGUGCGUUUGCUGUCGGAGACACAGGAAGCCAUCGGAGGAGGACAGGAAGACAGGAAGCCUGUUGAUGAUGUGUUAAGCGCUUCAGGAGAGUUCAGCGCUCGCGUUCACAGGUCUGUUCUGCUGUUCUCAUGUGUUCACUCUGGAAAAAGCGUCUGUUUUCAGCUCCUGAUGGCCGGCGAUGAUAACCGCUCUCUCUAGGCCCAGUUUCCUCGCCUGCCCGUGUUUGCUUUCUCCUCGUCUGGGGAAUUCUCCUCACUCAGGGGUUGUUUGACAAAGUUUUCCUGCCUUUCUCCCGUUCAGAUGUGCAGCUCCGAGUGUCUUUUAUGACAUCCGGCUCAGAUCCGCUCUCGUGGGUUUGAUUCCCAUCUGGAGUCCGGCGGAAAACACAGCAACAACCUGUGAAAGUGAGAUUUUCCAGCACUGCACGGCCAUCUGCGCUCCUGAGCUUCAGCACUAGAUGGCAGAACUGAGAUCAAGUUAAACCACAGCUAAUGACUCUUCUUUAAACAACCUGUGUGUUUUAUGGCUCAUUGCUACAGUUUAGAGGAUUGUAUGUCCCUUUAAAGCAAUACUGCAUAUUUUACAUAAAAUAUUCAUCAACUUUCCAGCCAUGCAUAGAUUACCCUGUUAGAACAAAAAAAAAAUUCACAUUAUUUUAAGGUGUCCUUGUUACAGUAAUAUUAAUUAUCUCCAUGUACUUACUAUAUGGUUGGGGUUAGGAUUAGGGUUUGGCUUUGGGUUACUUGCAUGUAAUUAUGCAUAAUUUAUUGUUAUAGUAACAAGGACACCUUAAAAAAAAAAAAUUCGUACCUAAGAUUAUCAAUAAUUUAAAAAUAAAAAAGCACUUGACAGAUAAAUUCCCA
Cyprinus carpio (common carp) is the source of this 1538-nucleotide long non-coding RNA. The record is from Ensembl. NCBI's taxonomy places the organism in Eukaryota, Metazoa, Chordata, Actinopteri, Cypriniformes, Cyprinidae.